GCCGGGAUCGCCUAGCUCGGUAGGGCGGCGGCCUGCUAAUUGAGCAGUUAGCCGUUGAGGGAAACCUCACGCGGGUUCAAGUCCCGCUCCCGGCG
RNAcentral lists this transfer RNA (95 nucleotides) under Candidatus Acidianus copahuensis. It matches the Rfam family "tRNA". Rfam says of the family: Transfer RNA (tRNA) molecules are approximately 80 nucleotides in length. Their secondary structure includes four short double-helical elements and three loops (D, anti-codon, and T loops). The record is from Rfam by way of RNAcentral. Lineage: Archaea; Thermoproteati; Thermoproteota; Thermoprotei; Sulfolobales; Sulfolobaceae.